Non-coding RNA from Pelecanus crispus (Dalmatian pelican), 77 nucleotides. The record is from Rfam. NCBI's taxonomy places the organism in Eukaryota, Metazoa, Chordata, Aves, Pelecaniformes, Pelecanidae.
GCAGGGUUAGCUCAGUUGGUUAGAGCAUGGUGCUAGUAACGCCAAGGUCACCACAGGUUCGAUCCCUGCUCACUGCA